UACAGCCACAUCACUUUGAAAACACCGGUUACAGUACGAUCACUGAAGUUAAGCAACGUCGAGCCAGGUCAGUACCCAGAUGGUGACUAUCAGUGAACACCAGGUGCU
Non-coding RNA from Acanthosepion pharaonis, 108 nucleotides. The record is from the annotation of a GenBank genome assembly. NCBI's taxonomy places the organism in Eukaryota, Metazoa, Mollusca, Cephalopoda, Sepiida, Sepiidae.